RNAcentral lists this small nuclear RNA (131 nucleotides) under Lonchura striata (white-rumped munia). RNAcentral describes it as "domestica (Bengalese finch) U11 spliceosomal RNA (ENSLSDG00000004958.1)". It matches the Rfam family "U11 spliceosomal RNA". The record is from RNAcentral. Lineage: Eukaryota; Metazoa; Chordata; Aves; Passeriformes; Estrildidae.
AAAAAGGGCUUCUGCCGUGUGUGGCACGGGGGGGGGUCGUGCGCCACCCCCGCGGAAUCGACAUCAAGAGAUUUCGGAAGCACAAUUUUUGUGAGUGAGGGCUGCUGGUAACCGCUUGUUCUGGCACCCCG